AUUGAACGCUGGCGGCAGGCCUAACACAUGCAAGUCGAACGGUAACAGGGAUCAGCUUGCUGAUUCGCUGACGAGUGGCGGACGGGUGAGUAAUGUCUGGGAAACUGCCUGAUGGAGGGGGAUAACUACUGGAAACGGUAGCUAAUACCGCAUAACGUCGCAAGACCAAAGAGGUGGACCUUCGGGCCUCUUGCCAUCGGAUGUGCCCAGAUGGGUUUAGCUAGUAGGUGGGGUAACGGCUCACCUAGGCUACGCUCCCUAGCUGGUCUGAGAGGAUGACCAGCCACACUGGAACUGUGACACGGUCCAGACUCCUACGGGAGGCAGCAGUGGGGAAUAUUGCACAAUGGGCGCAAGCCUGAUGCAGCCAUGCCGCGUGUAUGAAGAAGACCUUCGGGUUGUAAAGUACUUCCGGCGGGGAGGAAGGGAGUAAAGUUAAUACCUUUGCUCAUUGACGUUACCCGAAGAAGAAGCACCGGCUAACUCCGUG
This 490-nucleotide ribosomal RNA is filed under the name uncultured bacterium. RNAcentral describes it as "partial 16S ribosomal RNA". It matches the Rfam family "Bacterial small subunit ribosomal RNA", at positions 30 to 507 of the family's 1533-position model. The record is from RNAcentral.